CUUACCUGCACGCAACGAUUUUGACAAUUACCAGCUUCGAUUUCGCCAGAAACUAAAUCAAGAUUUGAACUUUGAUCCGCAUUAGCCGGGACUUGAUUCUCGAGUAAGUCAUCGCUUGGGCUGCUCAUAUUCAAUUCGACUUCGAGUGUAUUCGGUCAGUAUAAUCUGCAGACUGCGGACUGCAGACUGCAGACCGGACUGGGUACAAAAUGCAGACUGGGGGUAUAAAAUGCAGACUGAGGAUAAAAUGCAGACUGGGGGUGAAUUAGGGAUAUUUUACAAAUUCCCGCCAAGCCAUAGUCGAAAUGGACGAAGACAGCGAUGUAGAGGUAUUGAUAUUAUAUGAAUAUUUAUAUUAUUCUCAUUCAACCGUAAAACUUGAUAACUUUAACACAUUUCUUUACGUUUAA
This is a non-coding RNA of Paramuricea clavata, 410 nucleotides long. The record is from the annotation of a GenBank genome assembly. NCBI's taxonomy places the organism in Eukaryota, Metazoa, Cnidaria, Anthozoa, Malacalcyonacea, Plexauridae.